ACACUAUCAUUAACUGAAUCCAUAGGUUAAUGAGGCGAACCGGGGGAACUGAAACAUCUAAGUACCCCGAGGAAAAGAAAUCAACCGAGAUUCCCCCAGUAGCGGCGAGCGAACGGGGAGGAGCCCAGAGCCUGAAUCAGUGUGUGUGUUAGUGGAAGCGUCUGGAAAGGCGCGCGAUACAGGGUGACAGCCCCGUACACAAAAAUGCACAUGCUGUGAGCUCGAUGAGUAGGGCGGGACACGUGGUAUCCUGUCUGAAUAUGGGGGGACCAUCCUCCAAGGCUAAAUACUCCUGACUGACCGAUAGUGAACCAGUACCGUGAGGGAAAGGCGAAAAGAACCCCGGCGAGGGGAGUGAAAAAGAACCUGAAACCGUGUACGUACAAGCAGUGGGAGCACAGAGCAAUCUGUGUGACUGCGUACCUUUUGUAUAAUGGGUCAGCGACUUAUAUUCUGUAGCAAGGUUAACCGAAUAGGGGAGCCGAAGGGAAACCGAGUCUUAACUGGGCGUUAAGUUGCAGGGUAUAGACCCGAAACCCGGUGAUCUAGCCAUGGGCAGGUUGAAGGUUGGGUAACACUAACUGGAGGACCGAACCGACUAAUGUUGAAAAAUUAGCGGAUGACUUGUGGCUGGGGGUGAAAGGCCAAUCAAACCGGGAGAUAGCUGGUUCUCCCCGAAAGCUAUUUAGGUAGCGCCUCGUGAAUUCAUCUCCGGGGGUAGAGCACUGUUUCGGCAAGGGGGUCAUCCCGACUUACCAACCCGAUGCAAACUGCGAAUACCGGAGAAUGUUAUCACGGGAGACACACGGCGGGUGCUAACGUCCGUCGUGAAGAGGGAAACAACCCAGACCGCCAGCUAAGGUCCCAAAGUCAUGGUUAAGUGGGAAACGAUGUGGGAAGGCCCAGACAGCCAGGAUGUUGGCUUAGAAGCAGCCAUCAUUUAAAGAAAGCGUAAUAGCUCACUGGUCGAGUCGGCCUGCGCGGAAGAUGUAACGGGGCUAAACCAUGCACCGAAGCUGCGGCAGCGACACUGUGUGUUGUUGGGUAGGGGAGCGUUCUGUAAGCCUGUGAAGGUGUGCUGUGAGGCAUGCUGGAGGUAUCAGAAGUGCGAAUGCUGACAUAAGUAACGAUAAAGCGGGUGAAAAGCCCGCUCGCCGGAAGACCAAGGGUUCCUGUCCAACGUUAAUCGGGGCAGGGUGAGUCGACCCCUAAGGCGAGGCCGAAAGGCGUAGUCGAUGGGAAACAGGUUAAUAUUCCUGUACUUGGUGUUACUGCGAAGGGGGGACGGAGAAGGCUAUGUUGGCCGGGCGACGGUUGUCCCGGUUUAAGCGUGUAGGCUGGUUUUCCAGGCAAAUCCGGAAAAUCAAGGCUGAGGCGUGAUGACGAGGCACUACGGUGCUGAAGCAACAAAUGCCCUGCUUCCAGGAAAAGCCUCUAAGCAUCAGGUAACAUCAAAUCGUACCCCAAACCGACACAGGUGGUCAGGUAGAGAAUACCAAGGCGCUUGAGAGAACUCGGGUGAAGGAACUAGGCAAAAUGGUGCCGUAACUUCGGGAGAAGGCACGCUGAUAUGUAGGUGAAGUCCCUCGCGGAUGGAGCUGAAAUCAGUCGAAGAUACCAGCUGGCUGCAACUGUUUAUUAAAAACACAGCACUGUGCAAACACGAAAGUGGACGUAUACGGUGUGACGCCUGCCCGGUGCCGGAAGGUUAAUUGAUGGGGUCAGCGCAAGCGAAGCUCUUGAUCGAAGCCCCGGUAAACGGCGGCCGUAACUAUAACGGUCCUAAGGUAGCGAAAUUCCUUGUCGGGUAAGUUCCGACCUGCACGAAUGGCGUAAUGAUGGCCAGGCUGUCUCCACCCGAGACUCAGUGAAAUUGAACUCGCUGUGAAGAUGCAGUGUACCCGCGGCAAGACGGAAAGACCCCGUGAACCUUUACUAUAGCUUGACACUGAACAUUGAGCCUUGAUGUGUAGGAUAGGUGGGAGGCUUUGAAGUGUGGACGCCAGUCUGCAUGGAGCCGACCUUGAAAUACCACCCUUUAAUGUUUGAUGUUCUAACGUGGACCCGUGAUCCGGGUUGCGGACAGUGUCUGGUGGGUAGUUUGACUGGGGCGGUCUCCUCCUAAAGAGUAACGGAGGAGCACGAAGGUUGGCUAAUCCUGGUCGGACAUCAGGAGGUUAGUGCAAUGGCAUAAGCCAGCUUGACUGCGAGCGUGACGGCGCGAGCAGGUGCGAAAGCAGGUCAUAGUGAUCCGGUGGUUCUGAAUGGAAGGGCCAUCGCUCAACGGAUAAAAGGUACUCCGGGGAUAACAGGCUGAUACCGCCCAAGAGUUCAUAUCGACGGCGGUGUUUGGCACCUCGAUGUCGGCUCAUCACAUCCUGGGGCUGAAGUAGGUCCCAAGGGUAUGGCUGUUCGCCAUUUAAAGUGGUACGCGAGCUGGGUUUAGAACGUCGUGAGACAGUUCGGUCCCUAUCUGCCGUGGGCGCUGGAGAACUGAGGGGGGCUGCUCCUAGUACGAGAGGACCGGAGUGGACGCAUCACUGGUGUUCGGGUUGUCAUGCCAAUGGCACUGCCCGGUAGCUAAAUGCGGAAGAGAUAAGUGCUGAAAGCAUCUAAGCACGAAACUUGCCCCGAGAUGAGUUCUCCCUGACCCUUUAAGGGUCCUGAAGGAACGUUGAAGACGACGACGUUGAUAGGCCGGGUGUGUAAGCGCAGCGAUGCGUUGAGCUAACCGGUACUAAUGAACCGUGAGGCUUAACCUU
Molecule: ribosomal RNA, 2762 nt
Filed under: Escherichia coli NCCP15658
Lineage: Bacteria; Pseudomonadati; Pseudomonadota; Gammaproteobacteria; Enterobacterales; Enterobacteriaceae
Description: bacterial LSU rRNA
Rfam family: Bacterial large subunit ribosomal RNA
Source: RNAcentral